Molecule: ribosomal RNA, 465 nt
Filed under: Vreelandella stevensii
Lineage: Bacteria; Pseudomonadati; Pseudomonadota; Gammaproteobacteria; Oceanospirillales; Halomonadaceae
Description: partial 16S ribosomal RNA
Rfam family: Bacterial small subunit ribosomal RNA
Source: RNAcentral
CCUACGGGUGGCAGCAGUGGGGAAUAUUGGACAAUGGGCGAAAGCCUGAUCCAGCCAUGCCGCGUGUGUGAAGAAGGCCUUCGGGUUGUAAAGCACUUUCAGUGGGGAAGAAAGCCUUGGGGCUAAUACCCUCGAGGAAGGACAUCACCCACAGAAGAAGCACCGGCUAACUCCGUGCCAGCAGCCGCGGUAAUACGGAGGGUGCGAGCGUUAAUCGGAAUUACUGGGCGUAAAGCGCGCGUAGGCGGUCUGAUAAGCCGGUUGUGAAAGCCCCGGGCUCAACCUGGGAACGGCAUCCGGAACUGUCAGGCUAGAGUGCAGGAGAGGAAGGUAGAAUUCCCGGUGUAGCGGUAAAAUGCGUAGAGAUCGGGAGGAAUACCAGUGGCGAAGGCGGCCUUCUGGACUGACACUGACGCUGAGGUGCGAAAGCGUGGGUAGCAAACAGGAUUAGAUACCCCGGUAGUC